RNAcentral lists this ribosomal RNA (480 nucleotides) under uncultured bacterium. Its description in RNAcentral is "partial 16S ribosomal RNA". It matches the Rfam family "Bacterial small subunit ribosomal RNA", at positions 28 to 523 of the family's 1533-position model. The record is from RNAcentral.
GACGAACGCUGGCGGCGUGCUUAACACAUGCAAGUCGAGCGAGAACCCAGCAAUGGGGGACAGCGGCGUAAGGGACAGUAAUGUGUAGAUUAUCUGCCCUCGGGACCGGGAUAGCUGCGGGAAACUGCAGGUAAUACCGGAUAACAUCCCCGGAUCAAAGGUGUGAUUCCGCCCGAGGAUGAGUCUGCAUCCUAUUAGCUAGUUGGCAGGGUAAUGGCCUACCAAGGCUUUGAUGGGUAGCGGGUGUGAGAGCACGGCCCGCGUCAUUGGGACUGAGACACUGCCAGACACCUACGGGUGGCUGCAGUCGAGAAUCUUCGGCAAUGGGCGCAAGCCUGACCGAGCGACGCCGCGUGUGGGAUGAAGGCCUUCGGGUUGUAAACCACUGUUAGAGGGGAUGAAAUGCAGGUGGGUUCUCCCAUCUGUUUGACAUAGCCUCAGAGGAAGGACGGGCUAAGUUCGUGCCAGCAGCCGCCGUAA